This 442-nucleotide ribosomal RNA is filed under the name uncultured bacterium. RNAcentral's name for it is "bacterial SSU rRNA". It matches the Rfam family "Bacterial small subunit ribosomal RNA", at positions 958 to 1398 of the family's 1533-position model. The record is from RNAcentral.
AACGCGAAGAACCUUACCUACCCUUGACAUCCUGCGAAUCUUGGUGAGAGCUGAGAGUGCCGAAAGGAGCGCAGAGACAGGUGCUGCAUGGCUGUCGUCAGCUCGUGUUGUGAGAUGUUGGGUUAAGUCCCGUAACGAGCGCAACCCUUGUUCUUAGUUGCCAGCAAGUAAAGUUGGGGACUCUAAGAAGACUGCCGGUGAUGAACCGGAGGAAGGCGGGGACGACGUCAAGUCAUCAUGGCCUUUAUGGGUAGGGCUACACACGUGCUACAAUGGGGCGUACAGAGGGUAGCCAACCAGCGAUGGGGAGCCAAUCUCAAAAAGCGUCUCGUAGUCCGGAUUGGAGUCUGCAACUCGACUCCAUGAAGUUGGAAUCGCUAGUAAUCGCGAAUCAGCCAUGUCGCGGUGAAUACGUUCCCGGGCCUUGUACACACCGGAGUGC